Non-coding RNA from Oreochromis aureus, 1942 nucleotides. NCBI's taxonomy places the organism in Eukaryota, Metazoa, Chordata, Actinopteri, Cichliformes, Cichlidae. The record is from the annotation of a RefSeq genome assembly.
CUGACUCUGUGUGUUUGCAUAUGUGUCCUGCCUCUCUGCUCACAGCUGUUAAGAGGCCAGUGUUGAUCAGUGGCUGUCCAGGCCUUUCAGAGCCACUCACACACCAGCAGCACAAUGAUGAUGUCACUGACUCUACUGCUGGCCACCCUGGGGCUCCUUGUUCAGGGUUCAUCUGGAGACAUCGUCCUGACUCAGACUCCUAAAGUUCAGUCUGCUGUUCUAGGACAGACUGUCUCUAUCAGAUGUAAAGCCAGUUCAAGUAUGAGUAACUACCUCCACUGGUAUCUUCAGAAACCAUCAGAAGCUCCUAAACUGCUCAUUUAUUAUGCAACAAGCCGUCAGUCUGGAGUUUCUGAUCGUUUCAGUGGAAGUGGAUCUGGGACUGACUUCACUUUGACCAUCAGUGGAGUUCAGGCUGAAGAUGCAGGAGUUUAUUACUGUCAGCAGGAUUACAGCCGCCCGUUCACACAGUGAAAAACUGUCAUACAAAAACCUCUCAGCUGAAGAGGAACUGAUCUGAAGCAACAGCUGCAGAACAAACUAAAAGACUGGGAGGAAUGAUUACUUUAAUAUUUACUGUGAAAUUUUAUUUGUGUACACUCAGUUUAAGUUUAACGUUCAUAAAUUUAUCAAAAAAGUUUUUAAUAACAUGAAAAAAACAAAACAAAAAAACAUGAAGUGGUGUCCCCGAAUAAAAACAUAAAUGUUUAAUGAGUUACAGAAUACGGACACAACACUGGCUCCAGAUUUUUAACACAUGAACAUUAUUUUUAGAUGACUAUUCUUCUCUGUAAUCUGACUCAUUCUUAGUUUCUACAUUUAUAACAAUGAGUUCCAAUGAAAAGACAUAACUGGAAGGUUCACAAAGAAAAAAAAAUUGUUUUUGCUCAUUAAAUAUUUUUAUAUUAAUCCAAGUUGUAAAAUAUAACAAGCUGUUAUUAACAACACAAAUACUGUUGUCAGUGUUUCUGCACUGAUAAGUAGCUCUUUUCUAUUUGUAAGCUGUUAAAUAUUAAACUGAUCCUUCUGUGGAGCUCAGCUGCAGUUCUUCAUCACACAAAUCCAAAAAAUCACUGUCGUCACAUCACAACUAGUGUCUAUAAUAUUCUAAUAUUCUGCUGAAUAACAAAUGACGCAGGCUGUUAUAACCGUAUUUGUAGGGAAUGUGUUCAUUCUCAUGUCAGUGAAGAUUUAGCCUCAUUUGGAUAUUUCCAGCACAAACGAAUCACUGUUACUGUUGUAAAAACCUAAAGUUAUUUAGUCAGUUUAGUCGAUUUCCAAAGUAUUAAUGUAGACAGAACAAAGAACUAAAAAGUUUCUCUUUAAAAUAAUAUUUUACUAAUGCUUAAAAGUACGACAUUAAUAUAAAGUCCUACCUAAAUCUGAAACCAAUGAAAAUAAGAUGUGAUCAUCCUCCUGACAGACUGUGGUCUUUUUCUUGUUUUAAGAGGUUUAGUGAAGUGAGUUUCUCUCAUUUUGCUGUAAAGACUAGAAGAGAUUAACUUUUAUGUAAGUUGAUUAAAGCAGACCUGUAGUUUCUCACCUGCCUGCGUUCCUGUGUGUUUGUUCUGUUAGUCUGUUCUCGCCGCCUUCUGUGAGUCACUCAGCCUCUGUUUUGUGUGCUUUAAAUCUCAGACUCCUUAUCUCCACCUCAUCCUGGACAAUUAGAGAUCCUAAGUCUCCACCUGCUUCAUCUCUGCCACCACCAGCUUCUAGACUCUUCUCUGCUUUGUUGCUUCAUCAGAGUUUCACUGCCAAAUAGUUCAUUAAUCAAACUUCAGUAAAUCUGCAUUUAAAUGAUCUCUGUUUAAACAUACAGAUGACACCCUGCUCUUUAAUUUUACUUAUUGGGUUUUAGGUCAGAUUAAAAUGUAGAUCAUAAAACAGCUUUGAGACUAGAAAUUAUGAUGAGCACACAGAUUAUCUAUGGUUGACAUGACCU